AUUGAACGCUGGCGGCAGGCCUAACACAUGCAAGUCGAGCGGAUGAAGGGAGCUUUCUCCUGGAUUCAGCGGCGGACGGGUGAGUAAUGCCUAGGAAUCUGCCUGGUAGUUGGGGAUAACGUCCGGAAACGGGCGCUAAUACCGCAUACGUCCUUAGGGAGAAAGUGGGGGAUCUUCGGACCUCACGCUAUCAGAUGAGCCUAGGUCGGAUUAGCUAGUUGGUGGGGUAAAGGCCUACCAAGGCGACGAUCCGUAACUGGUCUGAGAGGAUGAUCAGUCACACUGGAACUGAGACACGGUCCAGACUCCUACGGGAGGCAGCAGUGGGGAAUAUUGGACAAUGGGCGAAAGCCUGAUCCAGCCAUGCCGCGUGUGUGAAGAAGGUCUUCGGAUUGUAAAGCACUUUAAGUUGGGAGGAAGGGCAGUAAGUUAAUACCUUGCUGUUUUGACGUUACCAACAGAAUAAGCACCGGCUAACUUCGUG
RNAcentral lists this ribosomal RNA (484 nucleotides) under uncultured bacterium. RNAcentral describes it as "partial 16S ribosomal RNA". It matches the Rfam family "Bacterial small subunit ribosomal RNA", at positions 30 to 507 of the family's 1533-position model. The record is from RNAcentral.